GCGUUCGGGUAAUCGCUGCAACGCGGCCCUUCGGCCCGUUGUAGAGGAAAGUCCAUGCUCGCACGGUGCUGAGAUGCCCGUAGUGUUCGUGCCUAGCGAAACCAUAAGCUAGGGCAGCCUGGUCUUGCGACUGGGCUGACGGCUGGGGAACAGCCUAAGUCCGUUAAGGAUAUGGCUUAGUACCCUAUAAAAGUGCCACAGUGACGCAGCUCUAAGGGAAACCUUAGAGGUGGAACGCGGUAAACCCCACGAGCGAGAAACCCAAAUUAUGGUAGGGGCGCUUUCUCCGAGGAAAUGAACGAGGAGAAAGGCGGGGAUUUCCCCGCAGAUAGAUGAUUACCGCCGGCCUUCCGUCCAAGACGGCGGCCGGUACAGAACAUGGCUUAUAGAA
Caldibacillus debilis is the source of this 391-nucleotide non-coding RNA. Lineage: Bacteria; Bacillati; Bacillota; Bacilli; Caryophanales; Bacillaceae. The record is from Rfam.